GUGGGGAAUAUUGGACAAUGGGCGAAAGCCUGAUCCAGCAAUGCCGCGUGAGUGAAGAAGGCCUUAGGGUUGUAAAGCUCUUUUACCCGGGAAGAUAAUGACUGUACCGGGAGAAUAAGCUCCGGCUAACUCCGUGCCAGCAGCCGCGGUAAUACGGAGGGAGCUAGCGUUGUUCGGAAUCACUGGGCGUAAAGCGCACGUAGGCGGCUUUGUAAGUUAGAGGUGAAAGCCCGGGGCUCAACUCCGGAACUGCCUUUAAGACUGCAUCGCUUGAAUCUGGGAGAGGUAAGUGGAAUUCCGAGUGUAGAGGUGAAAUUCGUAGAUAUUCGGAAGAACACCAGUGGCGAAGGCGGCUUACUGGACCAGAAUUGACGCUGAGGUGCGAAAGCGUGGGGAGCAAACAGGAUUAGAUACCCGAGUAGUCC
This 425-nucleotide ribosomal RNA is filed under the name uncultured bacterium. Its description in RNAcentral is "partial 16S ribosomal RNA". It matches the Rfam family "Bacterial small subunit ribosomal RNA", at positions 354 to 796 of the family's 1533-position model. The record is from RNAcentral.